RNAcentral lists this ribosomal RNA (467 nucleotides) under uncultured bacterium. RNAcentral's name for it is "partial 16S ribosomal RNA". It matches the Rfam family "Bacterial small subunit ribosomal RNA", at positions 28 to 507 of the family's 1533-position model. The record is from RNAcentral.
GACGAACGCUGGCGGCGUGCUUAACACAUGCCAGUCGAACGGAAAGGCCUCUAUCGGGGGGUACUCGAGUGGCGAACGGGCGAGUAAGACGUGCGUAACUUGCCCAUGACUUUGGGAUAACUUCAGUCAACUGAGGGUAAUACCUGACAGGAGAUCUUGCUGCAUGGUGGGGGCUGGAGAGUUUCGGGGGUUGGGUAUGGGUUAGCGGCUUAUCGGCUUGUUGGUGGGAUAGUGGGUUACCAAGGCCUUGCCGGGUAGCCGGUCUGAGGAGGUGAGCGGCCGCACUGGGUCUGACAGACGGCACAGGCUGCUACGGGAGGCAGAAGUGGGGAAUAUUGCACAAGGGGUGGAAGCCUGAUGCAGAAGGGCCGUGGGCGGGAUGACGGUCUUAGGGUGGUAAAACGCUUUCGCUCAUGACGAAGCUUUGUGUGACGGUAGUGGGUAAAGAAGCACCGGCUAACUACGUG